AUUUUGACCAAUUCUUUUAAUUUUGUUUAUUUCAGUCUAAUUUGAUAAAUUAUUUGUAAUUUUAGUCAAUUAGUCAAACUUGAAACAAUUAGUCUGAAUUUACGAUGUUGUUGUUACUAUUAUUGAAACAAUAUGAUCUACAACUUGGUCACUGAGCAUUCGAGAAAAAAUAUAGACAGCUAAGAGAAGCAAAUCCCAGAAAAUUCAGAGGGCUAAAGUUGAAGAAACUCAAAGACAGUUCUUUCAAUGAUUUGGUAGCGGAUUGUACAAAGCAAUAAAACUUGGAAUCCAGAAAAACCUGUCUGUGCCAGCGUGAGAUGAAACAUUUUAUACCAAAACUGAAACAUGACAAUUCAGAGCAAAAUCGACAGAGUACUGGACCAAAGAAGAGAAGGGAUAGGGCUGCAAGUGGUCCAACCACCAUGAGCAUCUAUAACAUGGAAUCUAAAGAUAGUUUAAUGAUAGUUUAAAAAAGAAAGAAUAGGAACCAAUGAGUCGAUACCAAUGAUAGAGUUGAACUUCCAGAGGUGUCUCUAUCUACUGGACACUGCUUAUUCUCAUUGCCAAAUUUAUGGGCAUCAAUGAGACUAUGCAGUGGAGGAUUUCAUCAGGAAGCUCAAUAAAGAUCUACAUGGUUGGGAUUUUUGGUGGGGAUGGCUACAGCAAGGAGAAAAAGACACGGAGAUGAGGAAGAGAGAAAGGGGACGAGUGGAGAGAGAGAGAG
RNAcentral lists this unclassified non-coding RNA (724 nucleotides) under Hevea brasiliensis (rubber tree). Lineage: Eukaryota; Viridiplantae; Streptophyta; Magnoliopsida; Malpighiales; Euphorbiaceae. The record is from RNAcentral.